This 23-nucleotide microRNA is filed under the name Mus musculus (house mouse). RNAcentral describes it as "microRNA 5117". The record is from RNAcentral. Lineage: Eukaryota; Metazoa; Chordata; Mammalia; Rodentia; Muridae.
GUUAGUGAUGAUCAAUAAAGUUA